RNAcentral lists this transfer RNA (69 nucleotides) under Nortia carinicollis. Its description in RNAcentral is "tRNA-Gln". The record is from RNAcentral. Lineage: Eukaryota; Metazoa; Arthropoda; Insecta; Coleoptera; Cerambycidae.
UAUGUCUUAGUAUAUGAUGUAUAAAAACUUUUGAUGUUUUAGGUGCCAGCCUGAUUUUGGCAGACGUAG